Molecule: transfer RNA, 90 nt
Filed under: Spirochaetia bacterium
Lineage: Bacteria; Pseudomonadati; Spirochaetota; Spirochaetia
Description: tRNA-Sec
Source: RNAcentral
AUAGAGGUUAGCAAAUGGACGUGGUGUAUCUUUUUCAUGAAGAUGGAAAAAUUCAGGUUCCGUUUUUUGAUUAUGACAAAAAUCUUUUUG